AUGACCCAGAAGCAUAUUAAAUGGGGUAGUUGAGUUUUUAGAGUAAUGUCAGCUGAAACUCAUCCAUUUUACUAUGUUAUGAUCAAUACAAAUGAAAAUUUAAACGAUUUGGCACAUUGCCAGGAGCAGGGACACAAAGGCGGGGUAUUUCAUACAUGAAUUUACGUGGUUUUCAUUCGCUUCUAUCUUGCAAGACCCAUUCCGGAUUUGUUUGCAACUUAUAUCGGUUUUAACUAUGGGGUAUGUUUUAUAUCAAAACAAAAUAUUAAGCUUGGCAAAUGACUAUUAUAUGUUAAUUUAUGCCUUGGAAGAAUGGUGAUUUUAGUCCCAAAUUGACACAUUUUGAUUUUGAUUUUAAUUAAAUUCUAAACAUAAUUGUACUAAAAUGGCUCAUAAAAUCAUUCGAACAAGUAAAAUCAAUUUGUCUGAAAAAUGAAAUAAGACGUAUUUGUACUGCAAGUCCAAAAAUCAAUAAAUUGUCUGAAACCAGGGAGUCCAUCUUUUAUGCUCUUCCAUUGACUUAUCUCCCUUGGGUAAGAUCUCAAACAUGUCAGCUCCCAGUGAUGGUUUGGCAGACAAAUGUUUACAUUGAAGUUUGUGACUUUAAUAAUCUAGGAUGAGCAUGUGGGCUAUCCCAGCCUUAUACAUCUACAUAUUACAAACUAUUUAAGAUAUCUGAAUGCACUAAAGACCAAAAUAGCAUUUCCAAAAAAAAUAAUUACUGCCAAGAUUCAAGAAAUUUGACAAUCAUGACAAUAAUUUAGUGAAUAAACAUGAUAAAUAUUGAUUGGAAAAAUAAGUCCAUGAACAGCAAAAAGUGUUUUUAGAUUUCAACGAGCAAAACAAAAGUAUUCUAAAUCAUUCUUCGUAAAAAAAAAAGUGAGCCAGUGGAACCUGGUGACCUUGCUCGCACCAAAAUUGAGAUUGAGAGUGUCAAAACUGCUCUGGCGCACCAUCAAUAAAUCAAUGACACUCUCUCUACCGUGGUAUUGAAACCAGCAUUGGUAACCAAACAUAUUCAUACAGAUACAGACUACCAUUCAUCUACAUUUAGGAAGUCUGAAUAAUACUGAAAACUAUGGUGUAGAAUUUCCAACAGGACUCCUUAUUUUAUAUAAGACAAGGAGUGGUUUAUUUUCCCAUGGUUGUUACAUCAUCUUGUCUUUGAAUAUGCUCGAAGUACAGGUACUUUUAUGGAAUUCAUUGACAUGAUAGUCAAGCAAGAUGUCAACAUCUCGUCCAACCCUCUUCCAGCAAAGCCAAAGCUGACCAAGGAUCUUCACCCUUUCAAAACAGGCUGUAUACAGGACGAGUUAUUCCAGUAGGAACAGGGCUAUAUAUAUGCAAGCAAUGCUCAAUUAAGAUGAAUUUUUGUAAAAGUGACAAUAGCCAGGUCAAACUAAAUACAUGUAUAGAAGGAGAUAUUGAUCUAGACUCGCAGCUAACCUUUCUGUCAGUGUCAACAACAACUGAACUUUCACAGCAGUCAACAUCAGAUUGGGAGACUGAUAAUGCUUCUAACAGAAACAAUUUCAACCAACCAAACAAGCAACAGAAACUUUCCAACUUUAAAACAUCAGUUAAAUCUUCCAUGGGAUGAUGUCUCAAAAAAUAACAGUUCAUCAUUUAUGGAGAUUUUAAUGUUAUGGUUUUUCUUUUACAAGAAAGUUAAUGUACACUUGUUUUAUAGUAAAACCUAUAGCCGUUCAAGUAUAAAAAAAACACAUUCAACUUUAUUGAAAUUUGAAGAUUCAUAUGACUUAUUUUAAUUCUGUUAUCUCCGAGAAUGUGAUGUAGAGCAUUAUAGGUACAGUAAUCUUAACAGCUAUCCAAUUUCAUUCAAAAUUCUUUAUAAAUUUUGCACUGGUAUAUAUAGACUAAGUAAUUUGUUUUUCGUCUAGUAAUGGGAUUUUUUUAUACCCCACGCAACGAGUUGUGGAGGGUAUAAUGUUUUUGACCCGUCCGCCCGUCUGUCCGUCCGUCCGUCAGUCCGUCAGUCCUGUUUCUUGUCAUCGCAACUCCUCUCAAACCACACAACAGAAUUUCAUGAAACCUUUUCAGAUAAUAAGGACAUACUACGUAGAUGUGCAUAUCGACAGGAAAUUACGAUUUGAUUUUUUUUCCAGGAGUUACGCCCCUUUGAACUUAUUUGCCCAAUAUACUACUGCAACCUUUUGUCAUCGCAACUCCUCUCAAACCACACAACAGAAUUUCAUGAAACUGUGUAGAUAAUAAGGACAUACUACGUCGAUGUGCAUAUUGACAGGAAAUGAUUCAUUUUUUUUUCUGAUACAAUUUUUUUUUCUUACACUUAUUUUAUUUCUCCAAUGACAAUGUGGGGACGUGGGGUAUGUGAGCGCACUCACUAAGGUUCUUUCAUUUUAGAAGCAUUUAUGAUUUUCAUGUUUGUAUUGACCACAUUGCAGCAACAUAGAUAUAGGUACCUGGCAAAUCUUGCCUUGUUAGCAUACUAGGCUCAAAGGGUCAUAAAAAAAUUUCCAUCACUUAAAGUGUCUGUUAAAAUCAUCUGUUUACAGAUUUCACUUUUAAACCAUCAUCUUAAUAACUUUAGAAGAAGUGUCAUACAUAUAUAUAUGUAUACAAAAUUUAAAAACUUUUUAAUAUAUAUAUAUAUAUAACCUAUGUCGUGUUUAACACAUAUUUAGAAUUGUGCAAGCGUCUUACCUGAUGUUCGGUUUGACUUUUUUAUUGUAUAAAUUUCAAGAUUGUUAUAGUUUUAUUUAAGUAGACUGAUAUAUGAUUCAUUCAACAUCACAAUCAUACUACUGAUGAAGGAUAUCUGUUAUCCGAAAUAUUUAUAAAUAAUUACAUUUAUAGUUCCUUUUUUUGUUAUUGGUGUUGUUGUGUACACUUUUUAGGCGUUUAUAUAAUUUAUUUAUUGUGUACAUGUAUCGUUACUCGUAACGAUCCAGUGCCCUCGUGGGAAAAAUCGUUGACUAUUAUUCAGACGUUUUAUAUAUAUAUAUAUAUUGAUAAAAACUAUCAACAUGACAAGAUCUAAAUACCCAAAAUUUUUUUGAAAAAUUGGACAUAACAUCUAUGAGCUAUUGUCCCUGAAAUGUGUAAAUUUACAAAUUUUCACAGUUUUCUGCUACUAUCCAACAACUAUAUCAAUAUAUUAUAAGAAUAAAUUGCAAAAGUGGUCAGAAGAAACUUUUUUUUUACAGUCUGAACUUAUUCUGAAUUGUUUAACUUCUAAUUUAAAUUGAUUGCGUUUGAAAUAUGUGUUUUUUAUCAUUUUAGGUGCACAAUUUGUCAAUACGAUCUAUUUCGGCUCCUGGGAGCCUCUAGAUUUAUAAUGAAUAAUUUGUAUUUAUGUAUGAUUAUUUUCUUAAUGUAUUAAAUGAAACAUUAAUUAUUCUU
Long non-coding RNA from Mytilus californianus (California mussel), 3384 nucleotides. RefSeq lists it as uncharacterized. NCBI's taxonomy places the organism in Eukaryota, Metazoa, Mollusca, Bivalvia, Mytilida, Mytilidae. The transcript has 3 exons. The record is from RefSeq and is a predicted model, not a curated record.